ACCAGGCGUGGUGGCACAUGCCUGUAAUCCCAGCAGCUCGGGAGGCUGAGGCAGGAGGAUUUCAAGUUCAAAGCCAGCCUCAGCAAAGGCAUGGCACUAAACAACUCAGUGAGACCCUGUCUCUA
RNAcentral lists this small RNA (125 nucleotides) under Marmota monax (woodchuck). The record is from RNAcentral. Lineage: Eukaryota; Metazoa; Chordata; Mammalia; Rodentia; Sciuridae.